GUGCAGCAGGCCACUAUUUGAAUGUGUGUUGCUCCUUGUGGCAGGUAUACUGUUCCAAUGCCCUGGGAUCUCUGUAGUGGUCGGUACUGUAUUGAUUAUAAAUGGUGAAGUCCUAGUAUCUUGCUAGAGUGAGCUGGCCAGGAUGGUGGAGCUCUACCACCAUUUCACAGGUUAUAGACAGGGGCCACCAGGUUUCAGGAAAGCAGCAAUGACCCCUCAGUAAUAGUUGGAAAGUGUGAUAUGACACUGAGCUUCACUGUGUUGGUGAAGAAGAGGUGAGGAAAAUAAAAGCUGCAGUUUGCCUCCACCUCUGAAGAAGCACAAUACACCUUUCUGGGUUACCAAUGGGAUACUUCCCAACAGCUUUGUCAUCACAUACAAUAUUCUCAAACAAGAUCUUAAUGGCAUCUACUUUCUCCAGGAACACAGCCCCUGACCUGUGUGUGUUUGCGUAGAGAAGGCAUGCUAUGUACCCCCUAGGAUAUCAAGAUUCCUGUAGCAGAUUGAGCUCUGGCAGUUGAUCUCAGUGGCUUGAUAGAGUGUCAUUAUAAAAACGCACCUGGAAGAUUCUGUGGAAAAGACAACCUCAGAAGACCAAGAGGCUGACUUUGCAAGAGAGAGUCCGUUUACCACUUAGAACCGUGAACACCACCCCCGCCCUCAUUUAUCUCCAGACUUGAACUAGUGGUUAAAUCCCAACAUGUCCCAGAGAAGUCAAAAGCAUUGUAAAAUCUGGGAAUCUGCCCACCACUCAAGCCUGGGAAAGCUGGCAGAGGAUGCACGUGUUUUACUCACCUGAGUGUUUACAAUGCUCGUGAGGUGCCUCCCUGAUAUUUUUAUAGCAGAAUGGAGAAACACAACCAAGGAGAUACACCUAAGUAACAACAGCAAUGAUGUCAAAAAGAGUGCCUGAAUACUUAGGGUGGAGGUCCUGGACAUGCAAACCCAAGCUUCCUCUUUGCUGUGGCCAGGAAUCUGCAGUGAUUGAGAGCACAGACUGUAUCUAAAAUUCCACCUUUCAAAGUUCAGCAUAUUACUUUUUUUUUUCUUACACCUAUAAGUACAGAGGAAUGAAGAAGGAAUAAACAGACCUUCUGGAUAAUUGCAUCAGCCUUCCCCACUAUUCCAAUGCCAUGCUAACAUUUCAAGUAAUGUCCCUUUUGUCUUGCUGAGAAAAAAUCAUUUCAUGAUUUAUUACACUGGAUUAAAGGCUAUGCACACUCUGGAGUUGGAACAUGACUGAAGGGCAAGCAAGCAUAAAGGAUAUCAGAAACAGUUGAUGUGUUUAAAUUUUUCUGAAUUUCUCAAGUAAACUUUUUAGAAAGUAGUCUGAAGAUAAAAUGGUUAUAUAAGUUACUUAAACUGUAGAUGAUGGCACCUUUAUCCCUAUAUAAUAAAAUUAAGAUAACUCUUCUGGGCACUUUAUUUGGAAUUAAUUAUUUAAUCCUCAUAACAACGCCAUGAAGAUCAUACUAUUACCAUCCAAAGUUUACUGAGGAAGAUACUGAGGCAAGAUUUACAAUCCAAAGCAGAGUGGGAGGAAGAGACCUACAAGACCAUGUUUCAUUGGAUAGCUUUGGAGUAAUAUCUAUAAUUUUAGAAAAAAGUUAAGAGGAAGAAGAAACUGGUGUCAGCUACACUUAGAAGAUUUUACAACAGAGACUGGCUUCCAUUCACUGAUCAGACAUUCACUGAUUUUUAAUUCUUACCACCAGAGAAAAAGUUGUUAUGAUGAGGGUCCUCAGGAAAGACAAUACAGUCAGCCGAGAAAUACAAUUUUCUUUGUCUACUGUUGUUUCCUUUACACGGACCAUUGAAAUAUAUACUUAACCACCAGCAAAACUCCUAUUAAACACAAGUAAAAAAAAAUCACUACAUGCAAAAGAGUGAACACCAGGCAAAGUGAUAAUUUAUGAAUUUCCAGGAUUUUUGUUGUAAUUUACCCGUGUAAGUUUACAAUAAAUGAUUGAUGUAACUAAA
RNAcentral lists this long non-coding RNA (1980 nucleotides) under Homo sapiens (human). RNAcentral's name for it is "PREDICTED lncRNA (TCONS_00208405)". Lineage: Eukaryota; Metazoa; Chordata; Mammalia; Primates; Hominidae. The record is from RNAcentral.